UACGGAGGGUGCAAGCGUUGUCCGGAUUUAUUGGGUUUAAAGGGUGCGUAGGCGGCUUGUUAAGUCCGGGGUGAAAGCCCACUGCUCAACAGUGGAACUGCCCUGGAUACUGGCAAGCUUGAGUCCAGACGAGGUUGGCGGAAUGGAUGGUGUAGCGGUGAAAUGCAUAGAUACCAUCCAGAACCCCGAUUGCGAAGGCAGCUGACUAGGCUGGUACUGACGCUGAGGCACGAAAGCGUGGGGAGCGAACAGG
This 253-nucleotide ribosomal RNA is filed under the name uncultured bacterium. Its description in RNAcentral is "partial 16S ribosomal RNA". It matches the Rfam family "Bacterial small subunit ribosomal RNA", at positions 524 to 776 of the family's 1533-position model. The record is from RNAcentral.